GCAAACUUGGUCAUUUAGAGGAAGUAAAAGUCGUAACAAGGUUUCCGUAGGUGAACCUGCGGAAGGAUCAUUAACGUGUUCAAGGCCUCCGUGCCUUAUUCACGCCCCCUGUGUUAAACCUCUGGUUUCUUUGGCAAGCCUGUGCACACUUGUCAAACUUUUUAAACUCCAUUUUAAUGCGGUAAUCGUCUGAGUGGGCUUUUGAAAAACAAAAACUUUCAACAACGGAUCUCUUGGUUCCAGCAUCGAUGAAGAACGCAGC
This 262-nucleotide unclassified non-coding RNA is filed under the name uncultured fungus. RNAcentral describes it as "partial contains small subunit ribosomal RNA, internal transcribed spacer 1, and 5.8S ribosomal RNA". The stretch from base 1 to 73 matches the Rfam family "Eukaryotic small subunit ribosomal RNA", at positions 1759 to 1831 of the family's 1831-position model. The record is from RNAcentral. Lineage: Eukaryota; Fungi.